GCGAAUUUUUUUUUCCGUGACGCGGUUUCGGGCUUCGAGUCGCGUACGGAGCUCUCGGAAGGUGUACUCGGUAGCCUUUAACAGUAAACGUGCUUCCCCCUUAAAUUUGCUCCUUCUUUUGCUUCAGAUCGUAUGACAUUAUGGACCGAUGUUCUGGCACUAAGCCUAAUCGGUCCUGCAGUAAUGAAGUGAUGGGUCUGCACAUGGACAGCUGUAUAACUGUUGCAACUGCUGCAUUGUUUCGUGAGAUGGCCUGCUUGGCUUUCCCUCGCAGUUGUGCAUGGAGGAGCGCGAUGUGAAGAGCCACGUCCUGGCUGAGGUAGUGGUUUGUGCUGUUUGUCGGGUCGACACACUGCCCGCUAUGGAGAUGACUGCGCAAACCACUGCCUUGCUGGAGCUGGUGAUGCACCACCGACGAGGAGGCGCGGCGAAGCCUUUGUAGGGGCUGUUCUUUUCAGUUACAAUUACUGGAUGUUUGAUGAAGCUCUUUUUCUUGUAAAAUGAUGACCGAGUUGCAUUAAAAAAGCGUGGAUCUUU
Electrophorus electricus (electric eel) is the source of this 537-nucleotide long non-coding RNA. RefSeq lists it as uncharacterized. The record is from RefSeq and is a predicted model, not a curated record. NCBI's taxonomy places the organism in Eukaryota, Metazoa, Chordata, Actinopteri, Gymnotiformes, Gymnotidae.